Non-coding RNA from Cinara cedri, 241 nucleotides. Lineage: Eukaryota; Metazoa; Arthropoda; Insecta; Hemiptera; Aphididae. The record is from the annotation of a GenBank genome assembly.
AUUUUAUAAACAAUACACUCGGAGAAUUCAGCAGUAGAUGUUAAACACUAUGCAAUAUAAUAGCUCUAUAUAUUCAAAAUACGUGCACAUUUUCCAUAAAUUAUUUAAAACUGACCCAAUUUCCCGACUUAAAUAUUCACCAAACAAAAAAAGUUAAAACAAUAAACUUUAUAGAUAAAUUUGUCAGAUUGUAUUUGAUGGGUAGCACAUAAAUCUCUCUCUAUAUAUAUAUAAGUAUACA